Molecule: ribosomal RNA, 348 nt
Filed under: uncultured bacterium
Lineage: Bacteria
Description: partial 16S ribosomal RNA
Rfam family: Bacterial small subunit ribosomal RNA
Source: RNAcentral
CCUACGGGUGGCAGCAGUAGGGAAUAUUCGUCAAUGGGGGGAACCCUGACCGAGCCAAGCCGCGUGAACGAAGAAGUUAUUCGUAAUGUAAAGUUCUUUUAACAGGGAAGAAAGAGAAAUUUGACGGUACCUGAAGAAUAAGCUCCGGCUAACUACGUGCCAGCAGCCGCGGUAAUACGGAGGGAGCGAGCGUUAUCCGGAAUUAUUGGGCGUAAUGGGUGGGUUGAUGGAAUAGUAAGUCGUUGGUAAAAGUGCGGGGCUCAACCCAGUAGAGCAAAAGAUACUGGAAAGCUAGAGUAUGAGAGAGGUAUGUGGAACGAGAGGUGUAGCGGUGAAAUGCGUAGAUAU